UACGUAGGGCGCAAGCGUUAUCCGGAAUUAUUGGGCGUAAAGAGCUCGUAGGCGGUUUGUCGCGUCUGCCGUGAAAGUCCGGGGCUCAACUCCGGAUCUGCAGUCGGUACGGGCAGGCUAGAGUUCGGCAGGGAAGACUGGAAUUCCUGGUGUAGCGGUGAAAUGCGCAGAUAUCAGGAGGAACACCGGUGGCGAAGGCGGGUCUCUGGGCCGAUACUGACACUGAGGAGCGAAAGCGUGGGGAGCGAACAGG
This 253-nucleotide ribosomal RNA is filed under the name uncultured bacterium. Its description in RNAcentral is "partial 16S ribosomal RNA". It matches the Rfam family "Bacterial small subunit ribosomal RNA", at positions 524 to 776 of the family's 1533-position model. The record is from RNAcentral.